This 253-nucleotide ribosomal RNA is filed under the name uncultured bacterium. RNAcentral describes it as "partial 16S ribosomal RNA". It matches the Rfam family "Bacterial small subunit ribosomal RNA", at positions 524 to 776 of the family's 1533-position model. The record is from RNAcentral.
UACGGAGGGUGCAAGCGUUAUCCGGAUUCACUGGGUUUAAAGGGUGCGUAGGUGGGUUGGUAAGUCCGUGGUGAAAUCUCCGAGCUUAACUCGGAAACUGCCGUGGAUACUAUCAAUCUUGAAUACUGUGGAGGUAAGCGGAAUAUGUCAUGUAGCGGUGAAAUGCUUAGAUAUGACAUAGAACACCAAUUGCGAAGGCAGCUCACUACACGAAUAUUGACACUGGGGCACGAAAGCGUGGGGAUCAAACAGG